UUAGCAUAUCAAUAAGCGGAGGAAAAGAAACCAACAGGGAUUGCCCCAGUAACGGCGAGUGAAGCGGCAACAGCUCAAAUUUGAAAUCUGGCCCCCUCGGGGCCCGAGUUGUAAUUUGCAGAGGGAGCUUUUGGCGUCGGUCGUGGUCUAAGUUCCUUGGAACAGGACGUCACAGAGGGUGAGAAUCCCGUACGUGGCCGCCGGCCUUCGCCUUGUAAAGCCCCUUCGACGAGUCGAGUUGUUUGGGAAUGCAGCUCUAAAUGGGAGGUAAAUUCCUUCUAAAGCUAAAUACCCGCCAGAGACCGAUAGCGCACAAGUAGAGUGAUCGAAAGAUGAAAAGCACUUUGGAAAGAGAGUGAAAAAGCACGUGAAAUUGUUGAAAGGGAAGCGCUUGCGGCUAGACGUGCCCGCGGUUGAUCAUCCAGGCUCCGGCCUGGUGCACUCCUCCGCGGGCAGGCCAGCAUCAGUUCGGGCGGUCGGAUAAAGGCCUCUGUCACGUACCACCCCUCGGGGUGGCCUUAUAGGGGAGGCGCAACACGGCCAGCCCGGACUGAGGUUCCGCGCAUCUGCUAGGAUGCUGGCGUAAUAGCAGCAAGCGGCCCGUCUUGAAACACGGACCAAGGAGUCUAACAUCUAUGCGAGUGUUUGGGUGUCAAGCCCGAGCGCGCAAUGAAAGUGAACGGAGGUGGGAACCCUCACGGGUGCACCAUCGACCGAUCCUGAUGUCUUCGGAUGGAUUUGAGUAAGAGCAUAGCUGUUGGGACCCGAAAGAUGGUGAACUAUGCCUGAAUAGGGUGAAGCCAGAGGAAACUCUGGUGGAGGCUCGCAGCGGUUCUGACGUGCAAAUCGAUCGUCAAAUUUGGGCAUAGGGG
This 872-nucleotide ribosomal RNA is filed under the name Torula sp. Its description in RNAcentral is "partial large subunit ribosomal RNA". It matches the Rfam family "Eukaryotic large subunit ribosomal RNA", at positions 35 to 923 of the family's 3401-position model. Lineage: Eukaryota; Fungi; Ascomycota; Dothideomycetes; Pleosporales; Torulaceae. The record is from RNAcentral.